CAGACUGAGGGCGAAACAGCAGGCAGGACUGGGUGGAGACGUUCGGGGACGUGGCAACUGGAGUUUCUUCUCCGUAUAUUUCGGCAUUCAGUUCCUUUUUUUUUUUGUUUUAACUCAGGAAAAAAUCUCAAUUGCGUUUAGUAUUUUGAAAGCCACUUUAUUGCUUCCCGAGCCUCAGUCAUGUGUGGUGGGAGGCUGCUGUGGGUGGCACCUGGGGCGUCCACGGCCGCCAAGGCGGGAGGACGUCAGGCCCUGCUUGCUCCCACCCCUUCCAGGUGAGAGCUCCCGGGCACGCCCGUCGUUGGCUCUUCGUCCUCUUGGUGUUCUUCCCUGUUGCUUCAAAUCAGGUUCCUGUCUCAAAAAUCCGAAAAAGAAAUCCUCCCAAAUGACUCUGUGCCCGACGCUCCGUUAAGGCAUCGUGCUAGGCGUUCUCAAACUCGUGAAAUGACUACACUGCACAGGUUAACCUCAUUGCUACUCUUCCCCUUGCCUCCUAAUUCUCUGGUUAAACUUCCGCCCCCGAGGUUUCUAGAAAUCCCUGAGCUGGAAUGCGCUGCCUUCAUUAAGAGGGUGUUCUGCUUCCGUCUGCUCACAUUCAUCUAGUAAGCCCUCUCGUUAAAGAGGAGGCAGCACACCGAGGCCUGUCUAGAACUUCUUUCAUUUAACCAACAGUGAAUAUCUAAUCUACAAGAAACUGGAGCCGUGGCAGUUUAGGAGCCUGCCAAGGUUGCAUCCCUGGGAGCUUAUUUUCUAUUGUGGGAGACAGGAAAAGAACAAGUGAAUCAACUGUGAAAUUAAAUAAUUCAAACUUAAAGCUGUUGGAACUUUAAAUUAUUCUGAGCCUUGCGAAGAAUGUGGCGAUGGGGCCUGAGUCCCAUGGCAUACAGCUGCAAUGUCUGCCUUGUUUUUUCCUAUAAUCAGGAAGACCAAACAGAGACAGAGGCGCACACACCAAGAAAGGCCAUGUGGGCACACAGCAAGAUGGUGCCUGUCUGCAAACUAGGAAAAGAGCCCUCACCAGGAACUGAAACAGCUGGCACCUUGAUGUUGGACUUUCCAGCCUCCACAACUGUGAGAGGACUUGGAAGCUAAGGCCCAGAGAGGAGGAGAAACUUGAUCAAAGUCAAUCAGACAAUGCAGAAUCGAGAAAAGUACCUGGACCUCUAUGCCCAUGCUUCUAGCAGCCAGCCUCCUAAAAUACCUCUAGUUGAAGCCAAAGUUAGAAUCCUUCUACGAAACUACAGGAUUAAAAUGGAAUGGUUACAUGACCCAGGCUUGACCAAUCAGAUCAUCCAAACCCUUUGCCACAGUGAUUGGUCCAGGGAUACAUGCAUGAGCCAGCUCAGGUAAAUGAGACUCAAUUAUAAGAAUUUUGUUAGCGCAAUUGGGAAAAAGAAGUUUUCUUUCCAUGAGAACUAUCAGCUAUAAGAAUGUUGGAUGCUUCCAUCUGCUGGAGUCCAUGAAGAAGGUCCAUGAAAAUGAAGCCAGCACAACAACACAGAGCUAAGACAUACAAAGAGAUGGAGAUUAAAUUGAAUGGAACUUUUAAGCCCCUACAUGCCCUUGAAGCCAGAUAUCCCUGAACUUUUAAUUUAUAUUAGUUGAUAAAGUCCUUCUUUAGCUUAAGCCAAUUUGAAUUAGAGUAUUUUUCACUUGGGGUCCAAAAGAGCUCUCAAUACAAAAGUCUGACUGAGUGCAUGAUGUGCUGGUUUCAACCUCAAGGGAACAGGGAAAGGGAAAGAAAGAGGCAGAGGUUGUGAACAGGACAGUAGAAGGUGGUCAGGAGACAAAUAUCUGGACUCAACUUUGUCCCUACUGUGUGGCCUUGAAUAGUGAGUUAACCACUCCGAGCCUCAGUUUCCCCAUCUGGAAAAAAAAGUUAGUGGACAGUCACUAGUUCUCAGACAGAACUCUGUAGCAGCGAGAGGGUAAUGGGGAUUGAGAGUCCCAGACUUGCAUUCUGAGGGACUAGCUCUCCUCUUAUCUAUAUCAUAUACCAGGUUUUCUUGUAAGGUUUUGUUAGAAUGGGUCUCACUGUUAAAAUGGAUUAGCUGAUCAUUUCAGUUCUAUUUAUAUUAAAGUCUAAAUUGAAUCAAGGCUCAGCUGGGGCCCAGUAAGAAUGUAGUGCCUGGUUAAUAAUAUUUUCUACUCUAUGAUAGGAGUUGGCCAGAAGCCAAGGUCAAAAACUCAAUCCCUGGAGGGUUUAUUUGCUUUCUGCAGACAUAAAAAAUUGUUAAUAACAAUGAUCUGCAUCCCCAAUCUUGAGAGCUGUCUUAGAGAUGUGGGUCAUUGAUCACAGAAGGGGCUGGGAAAAGGAAUGUGGAUGAUUCCAAAUAGUCAUUAGCUCUGCCUUAAAUGCCAAUACAAACACUACUGCCAAUGCUCAAGGCAAGCAACCUCUUCAUAGCUAGAACACAGAGGGUGGUGUGCUUGAAGGCUUUUGUUUCUCCUCAAGACAGUGUAGAAAAAGCUGAGAAAACAAAGAGCACUUGUUUCACAAUUAACUGCACAACACCUGAUGUAUAUCCACAGUCCUCUAAAUUAAUAUGGAUUCGCUUUUCUUUAUAAAGACAACAUACACAUUGUAGUGGAAAUCGGAUGGGAGGAUAAUUUUUAUGAAAGCAUAUAACAGUAUUUUUAUAAAAUAUAAAUUAUCAUUACAGUAAAAUAUAUUAACUUCAAGGCAAGUUUUGACACUGUAUGCAAGUUUAAAGUAUUUCAAAUUUUUAAAAAGUGUAUCUUAACAAAUAAAUUUUAGCACCAAUUGCCAGAAUUGUUGUCCACCACUAUAGUCAAAACAAUUUUCUUUUCUUUAUUUCAACUAAAAAUUGUGAAUGGGACUAAAGUCUUUAUGCAAAUAUAUACUCCAAUAAUAAUAUUAAUCUUGCCAACAGUAGCUGAAUAUUUAAUUAACUUUAACAAACAUGUUGAAAGAUAAUAAACUAAAAAAACUAUUUUUCCUUAUAGUCUCUGUAUAACUAGGUGCUUUCUCAUUAGAAAGCUUAUUUUUUCAAAAGUAUAUAUAACAUAGGUAAUUUAUAUUAAUAAAAAAUAAAAAGUUGCAAAUUUCUUGAGGUGUAAUUUCUCAUGUUGAUUAACUUCUGAUCUCUAUCAUUUUGCUUACAUGUACCAUAGAUACACAAAAACCAGAUGGGGGGCAGGGUAAUCAAUCUUAGGAGAGGGCAAUAGUUAAGUCAGACUAGGCAGAGUCAAGACAAGAGGCAGGCAGAGGGUUAGUUGAGGGCAAGUUAUGAAUGCCUCAGAACACAUCUCAGGAUUUGGAAACAAGCAGUAGUCUGGUCAAAUCCAAACUGGGAAACACAGAUGGCG
RNAcentral lists this long non-coding RNA (3330 nucleotides) under Homo sapiens (human). RNAcentral's name for it is "HSALNT0149991". Lineage: Eukaryota; Metazoa; Chordata; Mammalia; Primates; Hominidae. The record is from RNAcentral.